GAAGCUGAGUACAAAGCAGUGGCUGAUGCGACGGCUGAGAUCAUUUGGAUUCAGUCCUUGUUGCGUGAGUUGAGGAUCUCUUCAGCUCAUCCUCCAGUACUUUGGUGUGACAACAUUGGUGCUACAUAUUUGUCGUCUAAUCCUGUGUUCCAUGCUCGGACGAAACAUAUUGAGGUUGACUAUCACUUUUUUCGAGAACGAGUUGCACAGAAGCUACUUAGCAUCAAGUUCAUCUCAUCAAAGGAUCAACUUGCUGACAUCUUCACGAAGCCUCUUCCUCAACCACAGUUUGUAGGCUGUAGGCGCAAUCUUAACUUAGUUUGUACUUCA
Molecule: ribosomal RNA, 330 nt
Filed under: Triticum aestivum (bread wheat)
Lineage: Eukaryota; Viridiplantae; Streptophyta; Magnoliopsida; Poales; Poaceae
Description: partial small subunit ribosomal RNA
Source: RNAcentral